UACGUAGGGUGCGAGCGUUGUCCGGAAUUAUUGGGCGUAAAGGGCUCGUAGGCGGUUUGUCGCGUCGGGAGUGAAAACCCAGGGCUUAACCCUGGGCUGGCUUCCGAUACGGGCAGACUAGAGGUAUGCAGGGGAGAACGGAAUUCCUGGUGUAGCGGUGAAAUGCGCAGAUAUCAGGAGGAACACCGGUGGCGAAGGCGGUUCUCUGGGCAUUACCUGACGCUGAGGAGCGAAAGUGUGGGGGAGCGAACAGG
This 254-nucleotide ribosomal RNA is filed under the name uncultured bacterium. Its description in RNAcentral is "partial 16S ribosomal RNA". It matches the Rfam family "Bacterial small subunit ribosomal RNA", at positions 524 to 776 of the family's 1533-position model. The record is from RNAcentral.